RNAcentral lists this non-coding RNA (24 nucleotides) under Drosophila melanogaster (fruit fly). The record is from RNAcentral. Lineage: Eukaryota; Metazoa; Arthropoda; Insecta; Diptera; Drosophilidae.
ACCAAAGCGAUUCCCAAAUUUCAG